This is an unclassified non-coding RNA of Homo sapiens (human), 294 nucleotides long. Lineage: Eukaryota; Metazoa; Chordata; Mammalia; Primates; Hominidae. The record is from Ensembl.
GCUGGGUAUGGUGGCAUGAGCUUAUAGUCUCAGCUACUCGGGAGGCUAAGGUGGGAGGAUCUCUUGAGACCAGGAGUUCUGGGCUGCAGUGCGCUAUGCCAUUGGGGUGUCCACACUGAGUGUGGCAUCACUAUGGCGACCUCCAGGAGUGGAGGCCCACCAAGUUGCCUAAGGAGGGGUGAAACAGGUUGAAAACAGAGGAGAUCAAAACACCCAUGCUGAUCAGUAGUGGGAUUGCACCCGUGAAUAGUCACUACACUCCAGCCUGCAGCAACACAGCAGACCCCAUCUCAU